GCAGUGGUAGUUUAGUGGUAGAAUUCUCCCCUUCCACGUGGGAGACCUGGGUUUGAUUCCUGGCCAAUGAA
This 71-nucleotide transfer RNA is filed under the name Loxodonta africana (African savanna elephant). It matches the Rfam family "tRNA". Rfam says of the family: Transfer RNA (tRNA) molecules are approximately 80 nucleotides in length. Their secondary structure includes four short double-helical elements and three loops (D, anti-codon, and T loops). The record is from Rfam by way of RNAcentral. Lineage: Eukaryota; Metazoa; Chordata; Mammalia; Proboscidea; Elephantidae.